GCCGGGAUGGCGGAACAGGUAGACGCGCCUGACUCAAACUCAGGUGGUGGCAACAUCGUGUGGGUUCAAGUCCCUCUCCCGGCA
This 84-nucleotide transfer RNA is filed under the name Fidelibacterota bacterium. RNAcentral describes it as "tRNA-Leu". It matches the Rfam family "tRNA". Rfam says of the family: Transfer RNA (tRNA) molecules are approximately 80 nucleotides in length. Their secondary structure includes four short double-helical elements and three loops (D, anti-codon, and T loops). Further hydrogen bonds mediate the characteristic L-shaped molecular structure. tRNAs have two regions of fundamental functional importance: the anti-codon, which is responsible for specific mRNA codon recognition, and the 3' end, to which the tRNAs corresponding amino acid is attached (by aminoacyl-tRNA synthetases). tRNAs cope with the degeneracy of the genetic code in two manners: having more than one tRNA (with a specific anti-codon) for a particular amino acid; and 'wobble' base-pairing, i.e. permitting non-standard base-pairing at the 3rd anti-codon position. The record is from RNAcentral. Lineage: Bacteria; Pseudomonadati; Fidelibacterota.